GGCCGCCACACACUUCACACGUGCUUAAAUCCGCCGGAAUCAGUCCUUCAACGUACUUCUUCAGCUCACCUGCUUCAUGUAGCUGCCGAAUCUCCUCCGCACCACCAAUGUACCUCCCGCCAAUGAAAACUCUCGGCAAAGACGGUUUCGUCUUUUCACGGAUACCCAAUAUCGUCUUUAGCUCAUCCAUAAACCCAGAAUCCAUGGACACAUCUCGUUCGUCGAUCGAAACUCGGAAGCUACGGAGAAUCGUUCGAACGGCUUUGCAAUCGUCAAAUGUAGAACGAAUUACUCUCAGACUGGUGAAGUAGAUCACAAUCUUUU
This 324-nucleotide unclassified non-coding RNA is filed under the name Hevea brasiliensis (rubber tree). The record is from RNAcentral. Lineage: Eukaryota; Viridiplantae; Streptophyta; Magnoliopsida; Malpighiales; Euphorbiaceae.